GACGAACUGUGCAAACGUUAUUCGGAAUCACUGGGCUUAAAGGGUGCGUAGGCGGUCUCAUAAGUAGGGUGUGAAAGCCCCCGGCUCAACCGGGGAACUGCGUCCUAAACUGCGAGGCUUGAGUGAGGUAGGGGUGUGUGGAACUUCCAGUGGAGCGGUGAAAUGUGUUGAUAUUGGAAGGAACGCCGGUGGCGAAAGCGACACACUGGACCUUGUCUGACGCUGAGGCACGAAAGCCAGGGGAGCAAACGGG
Molecule: ribosomal RNA, 253 nt
Filed under: uncultured bacterium
Lineage: Bacteria
Description: partial 16S ribosomal RNA
Rfam family: Bacterial small subunit ribosomal RNA
Source: RNAcentral